GACAUAAUUAGCAAAGAUUGUUAUAUUUAUUCCAUCACUGUCAUAGGUUUGGACAGUUUGACUCUGUUGUUCUGAGUUUGUAACAUCCCUGCAGGGGUUGGGUGACUCGGUCAAGGACGACUGGACAAGCAAUAAAUUCUGGAAGCAGGUUGAACUUUCAGUUUACUAACUACACUACUCUUCUGGCUUUCCUUCGCUGUCUUGUGCAGCGUCUGCCACAUGAGGGGCAGAAUGAUUGUUGGAGGCAACAAGGUGGAUCUGCUUACCUCCGCCCUGGGACACGGUGUCGCUGCUGGGGGGAUCGAUGCUCACUGAGGAUGGAGGAGGAGAGGCAGGCAGGCAGCCAAGCAGUCAGCUGGAGGAAGCCCUCAACCUCAGCUCAAGUGACGCCGUCACCUAAGAGGUCCCAGCAGGCCCCCGCAGAGACAGAGAGGGGGUGCGCCGCCCGAUGCUGGAGCCAUGUCCUCUCACAAAGGAACACAGGCCAUCGUCCCCCAAAGGUUGAAGAGGACAGCGGGUAAUGGAUAUUGUAGGCUUCAGUCUAUAACAGGAAAAACCGAGACCACCGCUGACAGUUGUUUAAUUGGGAGUCAGAUAUUCUGACGCUAAUCGUUGGGAGAAGUCCAAUAUCGCUUAAAGUACAUUAAGACCAAGUAACAAAAGGAAGUAGGAAUAACACUAUAAAAAGCUGCCCAUUCACUGGUGAAGCCACCUGAUGAAGUGAGACUGCUGCUUAUAACUGUAACUAAACUAAAUGAUCUGUAAAACAUAUCCAUGGCCUCUCUACCCCAAAACAUAACCGGCCGGAGGUGGAAAAUUGUCAUUAUAGAGUUGCCUUUGGGAAGACUACUGUACCUGGAACAGGCUUAUGAAAGGCAAACUCCCCGUGUGGGGCCACCUCAUCAGUCUGUGCAGCCUGCGUGUCAGAGACAGCCUGCUGUUGACUGCAGCUCUAACGAAUCAGUGGCAAUGUGGAAGGAAGGGGCCCGGUGAAGCCCUGCGGGGUCACCUGGGAGCAGGACAAUGAGUCUGGAAGGCCCCAAGCUCCCAAUGAUUUAAUCACUGUAUGUGACAUGUUCAGCCAGUGGCAUCAGUGGGAGAUACAGUAGUUUGCUCACUGAGGACUGAGCUGUGAUACUGCAGCAGGAGGUGUUGUGUGGUUAAAAUGUUCAUAUUGUUGUAUUGAGAGUCAAGAAUGAAAAAAAAGCUGCUGUUUUAAAAAGAGUGAAACUGUUUCACAGAUGAGACUGUUAACCAGAGAUAACUUCUUGGCUUCUCUACACACAGACGUCACCUUUGACCUCUCCAAUUCAAACAGGGCCGGUGCAGGUUCGCCACCCUGCUGGCGUAUAAAUAACAGAGCGCACGUCCGAGACGAUCGCCUCUGGAGAGAAGCUACUGCAUCAGCGAGUUCUGCAACCCCAGUGACUGUUGCCCUCGCUGGGGGUUAAAGGUCAAUAAUAGAGCAAUUCCAAGUAGAAGAAUGUGUAACACUAUGGUUUGUGGCAGUGUCUGGGCUGGAAUUCACUUUGUGGGAGUCAAUAAACACAGGAUGAAGUACGGUACA
This 1567-nucleotide long non-coding RNA is filed under the name Betta splendens (Siamese fighting fish). RNAcentral's name for it is "lncRNA (ENSBSLG00000004108.1)". Lineage: Eukaryota; Metazoa; Chordata; Actinopteri; Anabantiformes; Osphronemidae. The record is from RNAcentral.